GUCUCCGUUGGUGACCAGCGGAGGGUCAUUACCGAGUUAUUCUACUCCCAAACCCCUGUGAACUUAUACCUUUACUGUUGCUUCGGCGGGUUAACGCCCCGGAAGGCCCGCGAGGGCCGCCGGAACCAGGCGCCCGCCGGGGGACCCAAACUCUUGUAUCUUUUUUAUAGCAUGUCUGAGUGGAAUCAUAAACAAAUGAAUCAAAACUUUCAACAACGGAUCUCUUGGUUCUGGCAUCGAUGAAGAACGCAGCGAAAUGCGAUAAGUAAUGUGAAUUGCAGAAUUCAGUGAAUCAUCGAAUCUUUGAACGCACAUUGCGCCCGCCAGUAUUCUGGCGGGCAUGCCUGUUCGAGCGUCAUUUCAACCCUCAAGCCCCAGUGGCCUGGUGUUGGGGACCGGCGACCUCGCCCGGGGGAACACCCCCGGCGCGUCCGCCGCCCCCGAAAUGAAUUGGCGGCCCCGUCGCGGCCUCCUCUGCGUAGUAGCACAACCUCGCAGCGGGAGCGCGACGCGGCCACUGCCGUAAAACGCCCAACUUUUUUUAGAGUUGACCUCGGAUCAGGUAGGAAUACCCGCUGAACUUAAGCAUAUCAAUAAGCGGAGGAAAAGAAACCAACAGGGAUUGCCCCAGUAACGGCGAGUGAAGCGGCAACAGCUCAAAUUUGAAAUCUGGCCCCCAGGGUCCGAGUUGUAAUUUGCAGAGGAUGAUUUUGGCGAGGUGCCUUCCGAGUUCCCUGGAACGGGACGCCACAGAGGGUGAGAGCCCCGUCUGGUUGGACGCCGAGCCUAUGUAAAUCUCCUUCGACGAGUCGAGUAGUUUGGGAAUGCUGCUCUAAAUGGGAGGUAUAUGUCUUCUAAAGCUAAAUAUUGGCCAGAGACCGAUAGCGCACAAGUAGAGUGAUCGAAAGAUGAAAAGCACUUUGAAAGAGGGUUAAAUAGU
This 940-nucleotide ribosomal RNA is filed under the name uncultured fungus. RNAcentral's name for it is "eukaryotic LSU rRNA". The stretch from base 549 to 940 matches the Rfam family "Eukaryotic large subunit ribosomal RNA", at positions 1 to 396 of the family's 3401-position model. Lineage: Eukaryota; Fungi. The record is from RNAcentral.